UGUUUGGUCACCUACAUUUGACGUUCUUCUAUUGGCCUAAGGAGCGUAUGGUUUGGCCGGACUGUUUGUUCUUAGCCUUACGAGAGGGUGCUUUGAGUUGCUAUGAGGAUGGGUAACUUAAGGGUUGUAUAGCCAACAUACUUUUGAUGGUUGUUUAACCCAUGAAGAUGAAGUAGCCAUUUGAGCUCUGCCUAUCGACUCUCCCUGCAAGUCAUGGAGCUUAAAUCUGAUGGUUCGUUGUCUUGAGGUCUUGGUGCUGCUUCUUAGAAGAUUGAGCUUUAAUGGCGAUGACCUUUUAGAUUUGCAUG
Molecule: unclassified non-coding RNA, 308 nt
Filed under: Hevea brasiliensis (rubber tree)
Lineage: Eukaryota; Viridiplantae; Streptophyta; Magnoliopsida; Malpighiales; Euphorbiaceae
Source: RNAcentral